CCGAAAAAGGUGGGCGGGCACGUAAAAAUAUUAGUUCAGAAGGGGAGGUCCAGUUGCCUUUCACCUCUGAGGCUGCAGGUUCGAAUCUCACUAAGUACCUUCUCAGUGCGACUCGAACCCAGUCCCCAUGUGAAAAGAGUAAAAGUCAACGCUCUGCCGAACGCCGUGGGUUUUCCCUGGGUACUCCGGUUUCCUCCCACAGGGAAAAGUUGACAGGGUGGGUUAGGUAAAAAAAAAAGGGCCCACAGUAAUUGGCAUAUGCUGUUGUGGUGACCCUGCCCUAGUUGGCGAAGCUAAUAAAAAAAAAAUAAAAAAAUAAAAAAAAAAAAAAUUUUAUUAUAGUGGGGGGAAAUUUGACACGUAACGAUUAUUGCUACAGCAGAGAGCGAGCAAGGCAGCAAAUUUAAUUCAUGUACCUAGCAAAAUUCUCAAUUUUAAUCAACACUGAUAGAUCGAAAAUGCAAUGCGCAAAUACCCAAAAUGCAAUGCAUGCAGCUAAUAUGAAAUACAAUCGAACAUCUAUCUUAUAACUUUUGCCAUGAACUUGCCAUAAAUAUUGUCAUGUUUCCCUGAUGUACAUUUUAAUAAAACAGACACUCACGAUAACGAGUAAGCACUGUAGUACAGGGCCGUACUACAUUAUCCAUGACAAACUGCAAAUAAUGAAGAUAUUACCCAUACUUUCUUGUAACUUAUCCAAUAUAUAGUUAAUUAAAUACGCCUUUGCCCAUUUAGUACUACUCAUUUGUAAACAAAUUGCAAAUUUCGACAUACUAAAACGCUGUUUUCUGACCAUCAAAAUUUUGUCAAAUCUUUCCCAAAGUCCAGGAAAUGGCAUUUC
Molecule: non-coding RNA, 841 nt
Organism: Paramuricea clavata
Lineage: Eukaryota; Metazoa; Cnidaria; Anthozoa; Malacalcyonacea; Plexauridae
Source: the annotation of a GenBank genome assembly